ACGCCUAAUACAUGCAAGUCGAACGAAGUAGCAAUACUUAGUGGCAGACGGGUGAGUAACAUGUGGGUAUCUUCCCUUUGGUGAGGAAUAACACGAGGAAACUUGUGCUAAUACCUCAUAAGUCUUUACAGAGAAAGCUUUAUGCGCCAUUGGAUGAGCCCGCACUUGAUUAGUUUGUUGGUGGGGUAAUGGCCUACCAAGACAAUGAUCAAUAGCUGAUUUGAGAGGAUGAUCAGCCACAUUGGGACUGAGACACGGCCCAAACUCCUACGGGAGGCAGCAGUAGGGAAUCUUGCACAAUGGAGGAAACUCUGAUGCAGCGAUGCCGCGUGAGUGAAGAAGGCCUUUGGGUUGUAAAGCUCUUUCGUCGGGGAAGAAAAUGACUGUACCCGAAUAAGAAGGUCCGGCUAACUUCGUGCCAGCAGCCGCGGUAAUACGAAGGGACCUAGCGUAGUUCGGAAUUACUGGGCUUAAAGAGUUCGUAGGUGGUUAAAAAAGUUGAUGGUGAAAUCCCAGAGCUUAACUCUGGAACUGCCAUCAAAACUUUUUAGCUAGAGUAUGAUAGAGGAAAGCAGAAUUUCUAGUGUAGAGGUGAAAUUCGUAGAUAUUAGAAAGAAUACCAAUUGCGAAGGCAGCUUUCUGGAUCAUUACUGACACUGAGGAACGAAAGCAUGGGUAGCGAAGAGGAUUAGAUACCCUCGUAGUCCAUGCCGUAAACGAUGUGUGUUAGACGUUGGGAAUUUAUUUUCAGUGUCGCAGUGAAAACAAUAAACACACCGCCUGGGGAG
Molecule: ribosomal RNA, 788 nt
Filed under: uncultured Pelagibacteraceae bacterium
Lineage: Bacteria; Pseudomonadati; Pseudomonadota; Alphaproteobacteria; Candidatus Pelagibacterales; Candidatus Pelagibacteraceae
Description: bacterial SSU rRNA
Rfam family: Bacterial small subunit ribosomal RNA
Source: RNAcentral